UACGUAGGUGGCAAGCGUUGUCCGGAAUUAUUGGGCGUAAAGCGCGCGCAGGCGGUCCUUUAAGUCUGAUGUGAAAGCCCACGGCUCAACCGUGGAGGGUCAUUGGAAACUGGGGGACUUGAGUGCAGAAGAGGAGAGUGGAAUUCCACGUGUAGCGGUGAAAUGCGUAGAGAUGUGGAGGAACACCAGUGGCGAAGGCGACUCUCUGGAACGCAACUGACGCUGAGACGCGAAAGCGUGGGGAGCAAACAGG
RNAcentral lists this ribosomal RNA (253 nucleotides) under uncultured bacterium. RNAcentral's name for it is "partial 16S ribosomal RNA". It matches the Rfam family "Bacterial small subunit ribosomal RNA", at positions 524 to 776 of the family's 1533-position model. The record is from RNAcentral.